AACGAACGCUGGCGGCAUGCCUAACACAUGCAAGUCGAACGAAGCCUUUGGGCUUAGUGGCGCACGGGUGCGUAACGCGUGGGAAUUUGCCCUUGGGUUUGGAAUAACAGUUAGAAAUGACUGCUAAUACCGGAUGAUGUUUUUGGACCAAAGAUUUAUUGCCCAAGGAUGAGCCCGCGUAGGAUUAGCUAGUUGGUGAGGUAAAGGCUCACCAAGGCAACGAUCAGUAGCGGGUUUGAGAGGAUGAUUCGCCACACUGGGAAUGAGACACGGCCCAGACUCCUACGGGAGGCAGCAGUGGGGAAUUUUGGACAAUGGGGGAAAGCCUGAUCCAGCAAUGCCGCGUGAGUGAUGAAGGCCUUAGGGUUGUAAAGCUUUUUUACCAGGGAUGAUAAUGACAGUACCUGGAGAAUAAGCUCCGGCUAACUCCGUG
Molecule: ribosomal RNA, 433 nt
Filed under: uncultured bacterium
Lineage: Bacteria
Description: bacterial SSU rRNA
Rfam family: Bacterial small subunit ribosomal RNA
Source: RNAcentral